GUUGAGGAGUAUUGACGCUUGGCUGUGAACUGGUGUGGAGAGGCUAACAGACGGUGCAUUGCAAUGAGGCAGCCAAGAGAAAAGAUUAAACCCAUAGAUGAAGCUGAUGUGCCCAUGGCAUCGUCCUCCCUCAAAGAUGAUGAGCAGUGCAUUACAAUGAGGCAGGCAAGACACAAGUUUAAACCCAAAGAUGAAGCUGAUGCGCCUGGGGCAUCGUCCUCCCUCAAAGAUGAUGAGCAGGGCACACUGAUCUUCCUCAUGUUGAUACGCCCAUGGCAUCGUCUUCCCUCAAAGAUGAUGAGCAGGGCACACUGAUCUUCCUCAUGUUGAUACGCCCAUGGCAUCGUCCUCCCUCAAAGAUGAUGAGCAGGCUUGGUAGCUAGUGAAGUCCUUCGAGACUGUAAGACCAGACUGAGCAACCUGCACACUGCCAGGAUUGACUAAAAGAAAGCCUAUGGCUGAAUGCCUCACACGUGGAUCCUGGAAUGCUUAGAACUAUGCGAGACCAACAGAACCCUAACAGCCUUCAUCAGGAAUAUGUGGAUAUUAACAAUAGAAGCCAACUUUAAGCCAACUCCACAAGUCACCAUCAAGUGCAGGAUUUACCAAGAAGACAACUCAGUCCCCACUGCUGUUCUACAUAGUCCAAAACCUCCUCAGCCCUAUCAUUGAAAAGACUUCUGUAAUAGAACUAGUACAGAAUGGAGAACAUUUUAGCCACCACCUCUACAUGGAUGACAUCAAGCUGUAUGCCAGGGGUGAACAGGUUGGAUGGUAACAAAGAAAACAAAGGUAGUCAGAGCUGAGGGGAUUGUACUACCAGAAGACAACAUUGCAGCAAAGAUACUGAUAGCUUCCAGACCUCUGGUAGAGUACCCAAGCUGAAAGGAUAAAGACGCUUGCAGGGCGAGUGGCGAAUUUUUAUAUAUAUCCAGACUAUAUUGCCAAAAGUUUUAACUUAGACAUCCAAAUCGGGUGUUCCAAUCAAUAAGGGUAUUCCAAGAGGAUUAUGGUGUGCAAAUAUCCAUUAGGGAAAACAAGGCAACUGUGACUAUGUACUGACAUUUAAUAAGUAUGUGAAAAUGAAUCUCCUCUGUAAUGUGUUUUAUUUCAUAAUGGACCAUAGGUUUUAACUUGUGAAUGAAGUUAGGAAUAAUCAUUUUGAAUAAGAGUGUGAAGGCUCCUCUCUAUCAUCUCAUCACACCAGCUGCACCAUGAAUUCCAAACUAAAAA
Molecule: long non-coding RNA, 1233 nt
Organism: Oreochromis aureus
Lineage: Eukaryota; Metazoa; Chordata; Actinopteri; Cichliformes; Cichlidae
Exons: 6
Source: RefSeq, a predicted model, not a curated record